ACAUGUCUUUUUGGUUAUUUAAUAUAAAGUCUGACCUGCCCACUGAAUAUAAUUUUAAAGGGCCGCAGUAUUUUGACUGUGCAAAGGUAGCAUAAUCAUUAGUCUUUUAAUUGAAGGCUGGUAUGAAUGGUUGGAUGAGGUACAAGCUGUGUCAUAAAAAUUAAUAUUUGAAUUUACCUUUUUAGUCAAAAGGCUAAAAUUUUAUUAAAAGACGAGAAGACCCUAUAGAGCUUUAUAUAGUUAAUAUUUAGAUUAUUAAUAUUUUUUAAAUUUAAUUAUUUUAUUAUAUUUUGUUGGGGUGACAAUAAAAUUUAUAAAACUUUUAUUAUUAUUAUUCAUUAAUUUAUGUUUAAAUGAUCCAAUUUUAUUGAUUAUAAAUUUAAGUUACCUUAGGGAUAACAGCGUAAUUUUUUUUGAGAGUUCUUAUCGACAAAAAAGAUUGCGACCUCGAUGUUGGAUUAAGAGUAAUUUUGGGUGUAGAAGUUCAAAGUUUAAGUCUGUUCGACUUUUAAAUUCUUACAUGAUC
RNAcentral lists this ribosomal RNA (526 nucleotides) under Simulium timorense. Its description in RNAcentral is "partial 16S ribosomal RNA". It matches the Rfam family "Bacterial large subunit ribosomal RNA", at positions 1815 to 2605 of the family's 2925-position model. Lineage: Eukaryota; Metazoa; Arthropoda; Insecta; Diptera; Simuliidae. The record is from RNAcentral.